Molecule: ribosomal RNA, 253 nt
Filed under: uncultured bacterium
Lineage: Bacteria
Description: partial 16S ribosomal RNA
Rfam family: Bacterial small subunit ribosomal RNA
Source: RNAcentral
UACAGAGGUCUCAAGCGUUGUUCGGAUUCAUUGGGCGUAAAGGGUGCGUAGGCGGCGCGGUAAGUCGGAUGUGAAAACUCGGAGCUUAACUUCGAAACUGCAUUCGAUACUGCCGUGCUUGAGGACUGGAGAGGAGACUGGAAUUUACGGUGUAGCGGUGAAAUGCGUAGAUAUCGUAAGGAAGACCAGUGGCGAAGGCGGGUCUCUGGACAGUUCCUGACGCUGAGGCACGAAGGUCAGGGGAGCAAACGGG